This 235-nucleotide ribosomal RNA is filed under the name uncultured bacterium. Its description in RNAcentral is "partial 16S ribosomal RNA". It matches the Rfam family "Bacterial small subunit ribosomal RNA", at positions 524 to 758 of the family's 1533-position model. The record is from RNAcentral.
UACGGGGGGGGCAAGCGUUGUUCGGAAUUACUGGGCGUAAAGGGCUCGUAGGCGGCCAACUAAGUCGGACGUGAAAUCCCCAGGCUCAACCUGGGAACUGCGUCCGAUACUGGCAGGCUUGAAUUUCGGAGAGGGGUGUAGAAUUCCAGGUGUAGCGGUGAAAUGCGUAGAGAUCUGGAGGAAUACCGGUGGCGAAGGCGGCCCCCUGGACGGACAUUGACGCUGAGGUGCGAAA